This 253-nucleotide ribosomal RNA is filed under the name uncultured bacterium. Its description in RNAcentral is "partial 16S ribosomal RNA". It matches the Rfam family "Bacterial small subunit ribosomal RNA", at positions 524 to 776 of the family's 1533-position model. The record is from RNAcentral.
UACGGAGGGGGCUAGCGUUGUUCGGAAUUACUGGGCGUAAAGGGCGCGUAGGCGGAUGUUUAAGUCAGCGGUGAAAGCCCAGGGCUCAACCUUGGAACUGCCAUUGAUACUGGACAUCUUGAGUACGGGAGAGGUGAGUGGAACUCCGAGUGUAGAGGUGAAAUUCGUAGAUAUUCGGAAGAACACCAGUGGCGAAGGCGACUCACUGGCCCGUUACUGACGCUGAGGCGCGAAAGCGUGGGGAGCAAACAGG